Molecule: ribosomal RNA, 479 nt
Filed under: uncultured bacterium
Lineage: Bacteria
Description: partial 16S ribosomal RNA
Rfam family: Bacterial small subunit ribosomal RNA
Source: RNAcentral
GACGAACGCUGGCGGCGUGCUUAACACAUGCAAGUCGAGCGAUGAAGCACCUUCGGGUGUGAAUUAGCGGCGAACGGGUGAGGAACACGUGAGAAAUCUGCCUUCAACACUGGGAUAACUCCGGGAAACCGGGGCUAAUACCGGAUAUGAAACCUGCGGGCAUCCGCGGGUUUGGAAAGUUUUUCGGUUGAAGAUGAUCUCGCGGCCUAUCAGCUUGUUGGUGAGGUAAUGGCUCACCAAGGCGACGACGGGUAGCCGGCCUGAGAGGGCGACCGGGCACACUGGGACUGAGACACGGACCAGACUCCUACCGGAGGCAGCAGUGGGGAAUAUUGGGCAAUGGAGGAAACUCUGACCCAGCGACGCCGCGUGCGGGAUGAAGGCCUUCGGGUUGUAAACCGCUUUCAGCAGGGAAGAAGCGAAAGUGACGGUACCUGCAGAAGAAGCACCGGCUAACUAUGUGCCAGCCGCCGCAGUAA